UUUUCGUCUGCAGAAAAGAGGAUGAGGACCUCCGAAAGAGGUUUGAGCCGAGCGUAGCGAGACAACGUUGCUUCAGCAACGGCCNACGUUGCUUCAGCAACGGCCCGCAGGGCGCGGCUCGCAGAGCAGUGUAAUCCUCUCUCGCCGACCA
This 151-nucleotide small RNA is filed under the name Pantoea agglomerans. RNAcentral's name for it is "RtT sRNA". It matches the Rfam family "RtT RNA". Rfam says of the family: This family represents a bacterial cis-regulatory element known as RtT RNA. The exact function of RtT is unknown although it is thought that it may be involved in changing the cellular response in relation to amino acid starvation. Lineage: Bacteria; Pseudomonadati; Pseudomonadota; Gammaproteobacteria; Enterobacterales; Erwiniaceae. The record is from RNAcentral.